CUGAAAGUCUGCCCCGAAAUGCAAGUGUUCAUUGCUAGUCGGCUUUAAAUCCCAACUGAGGCGGACGCACCAGGCUAAGUGUUGACUACAUAGGAAUAAUUCUAAGUCCCGUAAAGGCGACUUGAUACUGCCCUAUAGUUCUCACAGUCUCUUCCAAAUACUAAUUCGUAAUGUGUCCAACAUUCUGCGCCUACAUCUCCCUUGCGGUAGUACGUCGCCUGGCACUCUCGUAGCACACCACUUCCACUCUUCACUUCUUACCCCCCUGGCACUCUGUGACUAGCCCUUUUAUAGUGAGUGGUGCGCCUGUCACCACUCCUUAUCGGCGACUCAGUCAGUAGUGCACACGGUACAAAUUGUUCUAGAAUCAUCUAGAACGAUGUGUGUGGGCGUUGGCUGGGCCCGCGGCAGCCGCGGUGCCUACGUGCCGGUCUCGCCGUCCACCACUAUGUUUGCUAUGUCCAAGGGUUACUGCCUCCGGCGGGUCACAUGUUCGGUGGCGCCGCUAAGUCCGCUGCCCAAGCAAACACUAUGCCAGUACACAUCUGUUCUAGUUAUCAGAGUAAAUAUUAAACAGAAGUUCUGUCCCUGCACGUCUGCCUCGGUGAUCUGGUGGCUACAAUUUACUAGCCUGCAUCGUAAAUGAUUUUAGCCCUAAUUUUUAGCAUUCGCGACAA
Molecule: long non-coding RNA, 677 nt
Organism: Schistocerca gregaria
Lineage: Eukaryota; Metazoa; Arthropoda; Insecta; Orthoptera; Acrididae
Exons: 2
Source: RefSeq, a predicted model, not a curated record